This 1793-nucleotide long non-coding RNA is filed under the name Gallus gallus (chicken). RNAcentral's name for it is "lncRNA (ENSGALG00010002109.1)". Lineage: Eukaryota; Metazoa; Chordata; Aves; Galliformes; Phasianidae. The record is from RNAcentral.
GCGGCUCCCCCGCUGAGCGGCACGGAUCUGUCACCGCGGACUGCAGCCCACUCACUUCUGCUGCCCUCAGUACCGCCGUCCAUGGGAGGAAAUAGCGAUAAUAAAAAAAAAUAUUUCUAAAGAGCUGGAUUAAAUAAAGUAGGUGCUCCCAUAGAACAAGCGGCGCGACAGGCGGCCGAGGCACGGCGGCGUGCCCGUGCCGGAUGGAGCGCUGCGCACCGGGAAGGAGGAGAAGGCUCCGUGUUAGCUGGUGCCUGAAGCAGCCACGCACAGCCCCACAGCCGCCCAGGGAAGCAGGUCUGGGAGAUGAAUCUCUGCUUUGCUGGGGAUUGGUUCGUCUGGGAGAGCGGCAGCGCAAACUUUCUACCUCGUUUCAGCGCUGCUGAAGCCUUUUUGGGUCUGCAGCACGAAGAAGGUCCUCCACUGAAAGGUGAUCGCCCAGGAGUCAGGACUCCUCCUGCAAAAGGCAAAGAGAAGUUCCAAGUGCUGGCAGAGCUGCUGAACUGACAUUUUCCACGGGCAAAAAUAUUUUUAACACCUACUGUUUUUAGAACAAUGGAUCAUACCAAGGGCAACCUUGGUCAAUGUCUUUUGAUUUAUAGCUUUAUGAGAAAGGAUUCUCAACCUGCUAUGAACCAACUGAUAAUCUGUGUUAACAACUGAAUUCAAUUACUCAUAUAUUUUCAUACAUAUAUACUAUGAAGUGUAGUAUCAACAAUAAUAAUGUGAAGACAAAGUCACUUCUUAAAAUAGAAAAAUACUUGUAUCACAAAUGAUCUUUCUUUCUUUCUUCCUUUCUUCUUUUCAUAUCUUUUUCUGUCAUUUUACUUUCUAAGAUCACCCUGAUAGACAAGGAAAGGCAAUUCAGUAGAUGGCAUUUGUGAACAGAAGAGGUAGUUUAAAAGAGGGCAACUAGAAGCAAUCUUCAUUCUGGAAGUUAUGUGGCAUCUGAGUGUGUGGUUAUGAUGUAAUAGGAUGUAUUCAGGCAAGAAAAUCCUGAAACAUGAUUGCACACACUUGCUUAAGAUUGCAAUUAAGGACUCUUCUUUCUUUUGUCCUCUUUCUCCCAAUCCCUAAUACAUCGCUCACAAAUUAAACAAAAUAAAGACUCUUUGCACUGAUCCUUGAAGGAUGAAUUUCAAGGACAAAUUAUCUUCUUACUCACUAAAUAACAAAUACCCUUCCUUCAUCUUCUUUCAAAUUCAUUCUGUCAUGCAAAUAGUACUUGGGAACCUUACCUCCUCAUACUUAUUUUAGCAGCUAUAACUUCAAUCAUGAAAAUAAAUAAAUAAGAGUAUUUCAUUGUUUGAGAGUGGGAUGAAAUAAAAUAAAAAAAUAUACAGGGGCAGUGACCUUCAUAGAUGUUGUCCAUCACCUUCCAGCUCUUUCUUUGUUCUUCAGAUUAAAAAGAGGGACAAAGUAAUUUUACAGUCAUUUGAAAUGUUUAGGUUAGAAGGAUUCUUUCUCAUUAAUUUUGACUCUGAUAUAACUAAUCAGAAUUGGAAUAGCCAAUUAUCACCCAAUUAAAAAGCUUUUAUGUGUAGACUCUCAUGAAGUAUUUCACGAUGUUCUUACUGACUUAGUCGAUCAUUCUCAAGGAUGUAGUUUGUUUUCCAAAAAUCUAUAUUCUCUCAAGCAAAACCCGUCAUUAAACUGCAUGCCUGUGAAAACAUUUGAACUUAUUUUUACUGUGUUGAAAAUAGGAUAGAUAUUUUUGUAUCAUUAUUUUUUUUUCCUAAAUGCUUACCCUGUCACAUCAAAAUAAAAUGUAUUAAACCCUUUGACUUUUACUG